Long non-coding RNA from Passer domesticus (house sparrow), 434 nucleotides. RefSeq lists it as uncharacterized. The record is from RefSeq and is a predicted model, not a curated record. The transcript has 3 exons. NCBI's taxonomy places the organism in Eukaryota, Metazoa, Chordata, Aves, Passeriformes, Passeridae.
CUAGUUUCAGUUCGAAGACAGAAAAUCCAAAUAAGUCAUAAACAGGUGGUUACACAAGGUAGCAGAGCUGCCUGUACACCUUCUGGGCACUGAGAACCAGCUUUCGGGGGACUCUGUGGAGCUGGCUCCCAGCUGGAAUCUCCAAGGCAACUGGAACCAAGGCCACAUGCAAGGACACACCAUAAAAACAUUGCAGCAAAAGCCAGGUGAGAGCAGCACAGAGAUCUCCCAAGCAGGAGAAAAAGAAGCAUCCUGUGUUCUGCCUGUCCAAGUAGACACUCUGAGUCAGCAUUCACCUGACCUUCACACAGAAUAGCUUUCCUCUGCUUUUAGAGGACAGUGCCCAGAGACUGAUCAGAGAUAAAACUGGACAAGGAAGAUGGGGGACACCUGGAGCAUCCAUCAUCCAUAUCAAACCAUAACAGAUACAUGGC